GAAACUCAAAUGAAUUGACGGGGCCCGCACAAGGCGGUGGAGCAUGUGGUUUAAUUCGAAGCAACGCGAAGAACCUUACCAGGUCUUGACAUCCCUGACAACCCGAGAGAUCGGGCGUUCCCCUUCGGGGGGACAGGGUGACAGGUGGUGCAUGGUUGUCGUCAGCUCGUGUCGUGAGAUGUUGGGUUAAGUCCCGCAACGAGCGCAACCCUCGACCUUAGUUGCCAGCAUUCAGUUGGGCACUCUAAGGUGACUGCCGGCUAAAAGUCGGAGGAAGUGGGGAUGACGUCAAAUCAUCAUGCCCCUUAUGACCUGGGCUACACACGUGCUACAAUGGGCGGUACAAAGGGUCGCGAACCCGCGAGGGGGAGCCAAUCCCAAAAAGCCGCUCUCAGUUCGGAUUGCAGGCUGCAACUCGCCUGCAUGAAGCCGGAAUCGCUAGUAAUCGCGGAUCAGCAUGCCGCGGUGAAUACGUUCCCGGGCCUU
This 486-nucleotide ribosomal RNA is filed under the name uncultured Anoxybacillus sp. Its description in RNAcentral is "bacterial SSU rRNA". It matches the Rfam family "Bacterial small subunit ribosomal RNA", at positions 896 to 1382 of the family's 1533-position model. The record is from RNAcentral. Lineage: Bacteria; Bacillati; Bacillota; Bacilli; Caryophanales; Anoxybacillaceae.